AUUGGGCUCUCCGGGGUAACAACGUCCCUGUUCCCAAUCCGCUCGCGUCGUCCACUUGAGGGGUCUGAGCCCGAAACUCUUCGCAUACGGGAACUCAGAAUACACAUGACCGCCAGUACAACAGAUCUGAUUUCUUUGUUUGGCCCCGCUGAUGAGAUGUAAACCUCCUGGCUUGAGAACUGAAAAUUAUCUGCCUCGGAGAGAGAAAUGAUGUCCAGACCCGGAAACGCAACGGAGGCCUUCGGAUCGCUCCCUACUGCACCCCGAGCGGAGGCUCAGCCUCCUGUGUCCAGGAAGCGAAGUCAGCAGCCGCGGCCUGCCUCUGUCUACCACAGGAGCCAGGAAGAGUUCUUGAUCCCCGAAGGUCCUCAAAAAUGGUGAUGCACAUGGUGUGUUUGACCCAAGUGAAGAUUUCAAGGUCCCUUCAGUAGCUGGAUACAUUUGCUAUGGGUCAAAGAAUUAUGGAAAGCUUGUCCACGGAACAACUUCAUUAAAUCGUUUGGUGGAUUAUGGAAGAUAACUCAGGAGCCCCAGAGGGUCAUUGUAACUCAAUGUUUUGCCGGUGAGAAAGAAACGAAUGGCGUUAAGAUAGCGUGGUGAAGGUUACGGAAGCAAAGAUUUGACCCAAAAGACUUUGAAUUGACGUGAAUUCCCAGGAGAGCAACUAGUUCUCACAGAGAACUCAGAAAUUCCUUGUAGGGAAUCAGGAAAAACCAUCUCAGGGUUAGGGACGAACCCCACUCAGCACAUGGAGCCCCAAGGAAGGACUUUGGUCGAAGUUUGGUAUCCACAGUGAUUGGACACCAAACAGCCUAAGGGCGAUCCUCUUUCUCACAGUGGCUGCUGGUAGGACAGCUUUUCUGAUGCAGAUCUGUGUUGAAGCAGCUUAAAGGGCUUGGGACCUGGCCUGUGAAAUGACUCAGUAAUAACAGCAUUUGUGGCCAAGCUUAGCAACCCGAGUUUGAUCCCCAGAAUUCACCGCGGAAGGAGAGAGUGGACUCUCUCUGACCCCUGUAGUGAGCCUUAACAUGAGUGAGUAUAUGUUCGCGCGCGCCCCGCCCCCCCCCCCCACAUGCACACACGCACUCAAA
Molecule: non-coding RNA, 1091 nt
Organism: Peromyscus maniculatus bairdii (prairie deer mouse)
Lineage: Eukaryota; Metazoa; Chordata; Mammalia; Rodentia; Cricetidae
Source: RefSeq, a predicted model, not a curated record